This 1369-nucleotide ribosomal RNA is filed under the name uncultured delta proteobacterium. Its description in RNAcentral is "16S ribosomal RNA". It matches the Rfam family "Bacterial small subunit ribosomal RNA", at positions 94 to 1440 of the family's 1533-position model. Lineage: Bacteria; Deltaproteobacteria. The record is from RNAcentral.
AGUGGCGCACGGGUGAGUAACGCGUGGGUCAUCUACCUUUAAGAAGGGGAUAACUUCGCGAAAGCGGGGCUAAUACCCUAUAAAGCUUUAGUUCUCAUGAGGACUGAAGCCAAAGGUGGGGAUCGUUGGACCUGCUACUUAAAGAUGAGCCCGCGUACCAUUAGCUUGUUGGUAGGGUAAUGGCCUACCAAGGCGACGAUGGUUAGUUGGUCUGAGAGGAUGGCCAGCCACACUGGAACUGAAACACGGUCCAGACUCCUACGGGAGGCAGCAGUGAGGAAUUUUGCGCAAUGGGGGAAACCCUGACGCAGCAACGCCGCGUGAGUGAUGAAGGCUUUCGGGUCGUAAAGCUCUGUCAGGUGGGAAGAAAUGCUCAGAAGUGAAUAACUUUUGGGCCUGACGGUACCAUCAGAGGAAGCACCGGCUAACUCCGUGCCAGCAGCCGCGGUAAGACGGAGGGUGCAAGCGUUGUUCGGAAUCAUUGGGCGUAAAGGGCGUGUAGGCGGUCAGAUAAGUCAGAUGUGAAAUCCCUGGGCUCAACCCAGGAAGUGCAUCUGAAACUAUUUGACUUGAGUACGGGAGAGGGAAGUGGAAUUCCUGGUGUAGGGGUGAAAUCCGUAGAUAUCAGGAGGAACACCGGUGGCGAAGGCGACUUCCUGGACCGAUACUGACGCUGAUACGCGAAAGCAUGGGGAGCAAACAGGAUUAGAUACCCUGGUAGUCCAUGCCGUAAACGUUGGGCACUUGGUGUAGCGGGUAUUGACCCCUGCUGUGCCGAAGCUAACGCAUUAAGUGCCCCGCCUGGGGAGUACGACCGCAAGGUUGAAACUCAAAGGAAUUGACGGGGGCCCGCACAAGCGGUGGAGCAUGUGGUUUAAUUCGACGCAACGCGAAGAACCUUACCUGGGUUUGACAUCCUUGGAACCCCGCUGAAAGGUGGAGGUGCCCGCAAGGGAGCCAAGUGACAGGUGCUGCAUGGCUGUCGUCAGCUCGUGUCGUGAGAUGUUGGGUUAAGUCCCGCAACGAGCGCAACCCUCGUCUCUAGUUGCCAUCAUUAAGUUGGGCACUAUAGAGAGACUGCCUCGGUUAACGAGGAGGAAGGUGGGGAUGACGUCAAGUCCUCAUGGCCUUUAUAUCCAGGGCUACACACGUGCUACAAUGGGCGAUACAAAGGGCUGCAACACCGCGAGGUGAAGCCAAUCCCAAAAAAUCGCUCUCAGUUCGGAUCGAAGUCUGCAACUCGACUUCGUGAAGGCGGAAUCGCUAGUAAUCGUGGAUCAGCAUGCCACGGUGAAUACGUUCCCGGGCCUUGUACACACCGCCCGUCACACCACGAAAGUCAACUGUACCAGAAGUUGUUGAGCUAACC